UACGUAGGUGGCGAGCGUUGUCCGGAAUUACUGGGCGUAAAGGGCGUGUAGGCGGGAAUUUAAGUCAGAUGUGAAAACCCCGGGCUUAACUUGGGGACUGCAUUUGAUACUGGAUUUCUUGAGGACAGGAGAGGAAAGCGGAAUUCCUAGUGUAGCGGUGAAAUGCGUAGAUAUUAGGAGGAACACCAGUGGCGAAGGCGGCUUUCUGGACUGUAACUGACGCUGAGGCGCGAAAGCGUGGGGAGCAAACGGGAUUAGAUACCCCGGUAGUCCACGCCGUAAACGAUGGGUACUAGGUGUAGGAGGUAUCGACCCCUUCUGUGCCGGAGUUAACGCAAUAAGUACCCCGCCUGGGGAGUACGGCCGCAAGGUUGAA
This 376-nucleotide ribosomal RNA is filed under the name uncultured bacterium. RNAcentral's name for it is "bacterial SSU rRNA". It matches the Rfam family "Bacterial small subunit ribosomal RNA", at positions 524 to 898 of the family's 1533-position model. The record is from RNAcentral.